RNAcentral lists this ribosomal RNA (411 nucleotides) under uncultured bacterium. RNAcentral's name for it is "bacterial SSU rRNA". It matches the Rfam family "Bacterial small subunit ribosomal RNA", at positions 64 to 507 of the family's 1533-position model. The record is from RNAcentral.
GAACGAGAAAGGGGAGCAAUCCCUGAGUAAAGUGGCGACCGGGUGAGUAACACGUGACUAACCUGCCUUCGAGUGGGGAAUAACCUCGGGAAACCGGGGCUAAUACCGCAUAAUGCCUUCGGGUUAAAGGAGCAAUUCGCUUGAAGAGGGGGUCGCGGCUGAUUAGCUAGUUGGCGGGGUAACGGCCCACAAAGGGGAAGAUCGGUGUCCGGCCUGAGAGGGCGCACGGACACACUGGAACUGAAACACGGUCCAGACUCCUACGGGAGGCAGCAGUGGGGAAUUUUGCGCAAUGGGGGAAACCCUGACGCAGCAACGCCGCGUGGAGGAUGAAGCCCUUUGGGGCGUAAACUCCUUUCGACUCGGAAGAUAAUGACGGUACGAGUGGAAGAAGCACCGGCUAACUCUGUG